Long non-coding RNA from Sphaeramia orbicularis (orbiculate cardinalfish), 2721 nucleotides. RefSeq lists it as uncharacterized. The transcript is spliced from 3 exons. The record is from RefSeq and is a predicted model, not a curated record. NCBI's taxonomy places the organism in Eukaryota, Metazoa, Chordata, Actinopteri, Kurtiformes, Apogonidae.
UUUCACUUACAAGUCACUCUUUAGGUGAUGAUGUCUUAUUUUAAGUGUGAUGAGAUAUUUUGACUAGAAAUGAGAAAAAUACACUUGGUAAGAUUUAAAUUUUUGCAGUGUAUCAGAUGCCCGAAAAAGGCAACUUAUUGGCACUAAUGUGAAGGGUGAUACUGAGAUCAGGAUUUCAGCACAUAGGCCAUAGGUGUCUGGUUUAAAGGCAGUGGUUGAGAUACUGUUGUAAUAUAGCUCAGUGAGCUUCAGUGGCAGUUGGUUGCAAGUGGGGUCCACAGAGAAAUGGAAAAGUGAAAAGCAACACCUUUUAAAUAUCUGCAAAAACAUUGUUUAAGGAGAGCCAGCCACCCAUCAGAAUUAUGUGUCUAUUGCAUACCUCCUUUUUUGCACCCUGAUAUUGUCCUGUGGUAAACUCUCCAUUACCCCAUGCAGUGCUGAGAAAUGCAUAUUAAUGGGCUCUGUAUCUGUGAAAGUUGUCUUUGGGAAAGUUGCAGUUUGGUUCCAAAAGCUAUGAUACAUGUGUAUACAACUGGUUCACCACUGCAUCUGGCCCUUGAAGGCUCAUGUUAAAUAUAUUCAAAUAUCUUUUUAUGUCAACUAAGAAUAACAAAUCUGCCAGCCAUACAGGAUUUGAUAAGCCUGGCAUUGGUUGUUCCUUUUCUGCUGAGAAUUUUACCCCUGAGAGAAAGAGAAGGCGCUGCAAAACUGACCCCCAACUGAGCCAUCUUUACACUCUUGUGAUACGCCACAUCUCCAUAUUCAGCCUGGAUGUUGAGUAGGAACUGUUGGAACUGUUGGUGGUGCAGGGCUUUAGAGGGAUAGAAAUGAAUAGUCUUUAGCACUGGUUUCAUAACAUGACCAAAUUUGAGAUGUUUUGUUGGUGAAUAAUACAGUGAAGUUUACUAGUAUAGCCUCUGUCUUUGCUGACUUUGUCACAGAUUAGUGUGUUUAACCCACUUUGUUCAAGCCACGGCAGGUGUGCCAUCCAUAAUAAUUCCACUGAUUUUUACAGUAGUUUCCUAUCAUGAACAAACAGACUCAAAUACAUCUGUUCUUCUUCUUUGAUUCUUAAGAUCCUGGAGGUCAAGUAGCUCUUCAGUUAUGUUGUCAUCAUCAUGAAUGGAAAUGAAAAGCAUGUCAUCUGUCAGUGUUCUCUAACGUUUUCAUGACACAGUCUUUGUUGUUGUUCCCUAACAGUUAAUUUUCAGUAACAGCGUUAUUUGAAUUCCUUAUACAUCACAACAAUCUCUUGGUAGAUUAGGCAAACCCAGUUGUUUUGUAUUUCAGUGAAGAAAUACUGCAACUUCCUCCUGUCCUGGAAGCUGUGACCCUCAGAGUCCACUUGUCUUAUUUUAUCUACCGUUUAAGAAAAUGGCUGGAAAGGGUAGCAGCAAAGGUCAUACAGUCAGAGGGCAGCUACGACCACCAGUCAGUGAACCUGAAAAUUACAUGUUGUACCUGUGUGAUUUGCAUAUUCUGUGUAACAGUGCUGAUAUAUUUUAUGAAAGAGGCUGUGGGCUGUAUACAAUCUGGCAAUGAACCACAAUUGGCCCUCGAACUGGACUUUGCACAUUUCUUCAUAAAAUGCUUUAUUUCCAUGUGUGUGUAGCCAAAACUGCCUCAUUUGACCAAUUGCAAUCAAAUAGGGACUUCACCAUGCCUAAACCUGAGCUUAACUGCUUUACUGUUUUCUUGUGUGUGCAAUUCAGAAUACUGUCUGCUCUAGCUGCUUAGGGAUUUCAUGUACUGUUCUAACUUGCUAGCUUUUUGUUAGUUCACAUUGCUGCAGCAUUUAUACCGUUCACCUGUGGUAGACGAUAGAAUAUACUAUGGACACAAAGAGCUGCUUAAUGUACUGUGCAUUUUACAGCAUAUUAUAAAAAGACUUGCAGUAUCCUUUCCAUACUGCAACACAGAUUUGAUCAGAAACCUGAGUGAGAUGUUAUGUUUAUGUUGUCACUUUCCAUUGGUAUCUGUAUUUCCUCCCCUCUGCUGCUUCACUUUCACUGCAACAGUCUCUACCAGAGGCUUUUGGCUUUUACAGCGCAUCGUGCUGCCUGUCUCUCCUUCUUUUAUCAGCCCAGCUUUGCCCUUUAUGUUUGUUCCUCCUGUAUUUGAUGAAUGUCAUUGCCUUUGCCCUAUUCAAUUAGUUUAACAGGGGCGAGGGGGCACAAUGUGGAUGAAUAACACAGUCCCGUGGCACAGCAUAGGAUUUCACUGCAUACUGUAUGAAUGUAGUAGGAAAGUGGUGUGUUUGGAGAAAUGACACACCCCCCUCCACGUAUAUUGAUUCUGAAUAUUAUGGGAGCCACUUGAGGUGAACUGAUUUAAUUAUUUACACACUGGUGCACAGAGAGGUGAUUAAAGCACCAUAAGUAUUUGUUAAUAAGGCUGACCACUGCACAAUGUUCUGAUUAAAAACUUGACUGAGUUGACAGGGUUUUUUUUUUAAUGAUGGUCCGCAAUGAAAAUCACAUUUUACAUGCUCUCUUUCUCUUGUAGGUGCUCUGCCUGUCUUUUUUUCACACGUUUUCAUUCACUGUCCAUUUCCACUUUUCAUUGCACAUCAUAAAUGUUCUUACUUAAACGUCUACUCAACUCACCUAAUUCAUCAAUGAUGCUGAAAUGAGCAGAGAAAAAAACUUGACUGCCUCUGUGCAACUCAUCCGUGGACAUCUGAUUCAAUUAUUUAUGAUUAAAGACUUUUAUAUUGUCCGU